GGCGCCGUCGCCACGCCCGCCACCGCCGCGCGCACGCCCAGCUCGUCGCUCAUCAGCCCCGGCAACCCGCUCAACUCGGUGCACAGGGAGACAGCCGCCCGGUACAUGGUGAGCCGACAGCGUGGCGGCGCAGCCGCCCGCCAGCGGCUCCGUCUGGCGGCGGAGGCCGACCCGAGGCCGGCCGCCGACGCCGACGUCCAGCUCAUGGCCGAGGUCAUCGGCAAAGACGCUGACUGGCUGCUGGGCCAGUCGGACCUCCGCCGCGAGGACGAGGACGAGGACGACUACUUCGAGUUCGAGGACGACUGAGACCGCGGCCGUCCGGUCGCCGUCUGGCGGGUCAGCUGCGGCAUGGGAAGCAGUGCUGUGCAGUGCGGCAGUGCUAUCGUGACCUGAUUCUUAAGCGCGGUGCCAUACGGCGUCGGCCGUGGUGGCGCUCUCGGCCGUCUGACCUCCGAGCGUUGUGGCCGGAGCGUGAUCAUCACCGUCGCGGCUGGUCCUAGAGCGGCCCCGACAGGCUGGCGGUGUUCCGCCGGGUAAGACUGGUCCGAGAGCGGCCCCGACAGGCCGACGGUGUUCCGCCGGCCAGGACUGGUCCGAGAGCGGCCCCGACAGGCUGGCAGUGUUCUGCCGGCCAGGAGGAGCGGUCCGAGGCGGCCCCGACAAGCAGGUCGUGGAGCCGUCGCCGCCGCCGGCCCCGCGGGGAGGGCGUGGCGCCACCUCCCCCUCGCCGGUGUUGUUGCUGUCGCGGAUCAGAGCCGGAACUGUCGUUACCGAUCGUCGAUCGGCUCGGGUAGACGGCCGAUCGGUUUUUACCUGCGUGCUUUGUGCUUGUUGGCUUCGGAGUGUACCGUUUGUGUGCCGUGCGGUGGGCGUCGUAUGUGGAUGGACGAGAAAUGGUGCGUGCGCGAGGCAGGCAACGCUGCUUGCCCUUCGAGACUUUUUUUCGCGUCCUUUGCCUUUGUCUGCUUUUGUGUGCACAGAUUUGGCGGACGUAGACAUGUGAGGCUAAGCUCGCGCCAAAUGACGCCGGCAUGGCGGCGUUCCAGCCUAGUCCCUCAGCUAGAGAU
Molecule: long non-coding RNA, 1070 nt
Organism: Pollicipes pollicipes
Lineage: Eukaryota; Metazoa; Arthropoda; Thecostraca; Pollicipedomorpha; Pollicipedidae
Exons: 3
Source: RefSeq, a predicted model, not a curated record